UGAGAAGUAAAAGUCGUAACAAGGUUUCCGUAGGUGAACCUGCGG
Molecule: ribosomal RNA, 45 nt
Filed under: Boletus aestivalis
Lineage: Eukaryota; Fungi; Basidiomycota; Agaricomycetes; Boletales; Boletaceae
Description: partial 18S ribosomal RNA
Source: RNAcentral